Long non-coding RNA from Anolis carolinensis (green anole), 2750 nucleotides. RefSeq lists it as uncharacterized. The record is from RefSeq and is a predicted model, not a curated record. Lineage: Eukaryota; Metazoa; Chordata; Lepidosauria; Squamata; Anolidae. The transcript has 3 exons.
GCUGAGUGCUGAGACUGUUGCCUAUAAGUCUGUAGUAACCCUGUGUUGAGUUGAUGAAGGUUGGAGGUUUUUAUAUGAAGAGAGAGUUUGUACAUAUUGUAAAUACUGUCCACCCCAUGAACAAUCUUGAUUUUUGGACUAUUCUGGAAAUUUAACUGUUUCAACGUGUAUUGCUAUUGGAGACUGCCUGACCCAAACAGAGGAUUCUUCUCCACCCCUGCAAGCAGCUCGCCUGACAAUGAAAAACACCUCCACUUCUUCUGUAACUGAUUUCCCACUGCCUCAGAGGUGCUUUAUCUGAAGUGGAAGAGAACCACCUGUCAAUGAUCUAAAAUGGGAUUAGUCCUACAUCAAAAUCAUUAUCACUGGGCAUAUUGACUUGGGCAAAUCCCUCACUGCUGGUUAUCUGAUUUAAAAAUGUGGUGGGAUUGACAAAGAGGAUCACCAAGAAAAUCAAGAUGGAAGCUGGUGACAUGGACAAGUGUUCCUUCAAAUAUGGAUCAGUGUUGCACAAGUUGAAGGCAGAAGAUAAACCUGCAAUGUUGUUGCAAGGUAUUGCUGAAUGCUAUUUGACAUAAUGUGAAUGUUGGGGUAUAGGUGAGAGGCCAUUAUCAGUUCUGUAUCACCAAUAUGACACCCACAGCUCCAUCCUUAAUCAGAGGAGGCUAUUUGAAGUAUUUUUGUGUCCCCUCCCAUUCCAUAAUGGCUCCAAAACUAAUGAACAAAUAAAAAACAAAAUUCAAACAAUACAAUUAUUAUUUUUAAAAAGCACAUUAAAAUGGUCUUCAAACUUCCCCUAAAUGUAGGUGACCUUUGUGGUUCUAAAACUUGCAGAAAACCAUUUCUUGAGGGGGGAAAGGUGGAUGGGGGGGGGGGGCAAUGUAUUUCCUUGAAGUAUUAAAGGAACUCACAUUUUAACUUGCCACCUGCCCUUUAUUUUUUUCUUUCCCCUUUGCUAAACUUGGACAAUUCAUGAAGUCCUUAGAGGACCCUGUGGUUGAAAAUUGGUCCAUAUUGCCAUGACAGUUGCUCACCCAGGUGUCCGCCACACCCUGAAAUAUUAAUGUGUUUUCAAGUUUUUUCCUUGUUUAAAAAAUGAAAAAUUGCUUUUCUCCCAAUUAUUGAUUUAAGUUGUUUUAAGCUUAAUCUUAUGGAGCCUUGUAGUUUGCAAUAUUCUUACUUUUGUAGAACCAUCACUUUGUAAUCUUUUAUAAACCACACCAGGGUUUUGUUUUUAAAAUGUGGUACAUUAAUGCUUUACAACAACUGACACAAUAUAUAUAUUACAAUCUGACAAAAGUUAAGUGUGACCCAUUGGAAAAAGGUUUCACUCCUCAAAAUUUCAUUUAUCUGCUUUGGCUGGACUGAGGCUCCAUCUGCAUUAUUUGGUCAGUGUGGACCUAAUGCAGUUCAAUACAGUUAAAUGAGUCCCCUUGGGGAGAUAGGGUACAAAUAAAAUAUGAUUAUUCUGUGUCUAUUGGCUGUUAGGAGCUGUAGUCCCAAAACACCUGGAGGGCUGAAGUCUGCCCUUGCCUGGUCUAUACUGACCAGUUCCAGACGACAUAUGGCAGUGUAGAUUCAACCCAAGUCUGUUAUGUUGCCAUGAGAAGUAUGAGUUUUACUGUGUUACUAAAUCAGUUUCUAAGAGUAUAAUCCAAUGUAUACCUGUAUUGUGUGAUCCAUACUGAAUCCCUAAAACUUUUUUUUUAAAUCCCACUUUUAUUAUCACAAUUCUCCGUGACACAACUUAAGAAGAACUUGGUAUAUCAGAAUUUACUAAGAAAGUCACUAAGAAAGGGGUAUAAAACAUGAUGUAACCAGGACAUGGAAAGUGGGGUUUUCAUUAUUUCCUGGUACAGUUGGCGGGACGAGAGGGAGGGCUUUCUCGGUGGUGGCUCCCUGGCUCUAGAAUACCCUCCCUAGAGAGAUUAGGUUAGCCCCAACUCGCCAUACCCUUUGGUCUAGCCUAAAAACUUGGCUUUUUAAAUAUUUAUUAUUUUGGCACUUUAGCCCAUGACUUUAAGAAGCCUAGUUACCACAGGCAUUUUAUAAUUAUUAUUUUUUUUACUUUUUAUCAUCUGAUAUUCUUUGCUCAUUUGUAUUCAGUCUAAUUGUGUGUAUUGUUUUUAUGCUAUGUAAUUUUUUUUCUGUCUGUAGCACCUUGGAGUGCUUUUGUGAGCUGCCCAGAGUGGUGGGGUAUAAAUAAAGUUGUUUAUUAUUACUAUUAUUAUUAUUAUUAGAACAGGAAAUAGACUUACAUAGCAUAAAAACAAUAUACACAAUUAGACUGUGGUGGCUCCCCGGCUCUGGAAUACCCUUCUAAGAGAUUAGAUUAGCCCCCACCCUUCAAUCCUUCCGAUCCAGCCUGAAAACAUGGAAGUUCAAACAGGUUUUUGACCUCGAGUAGUCUGGAAUGGGCCCGUCCAAGGUUGACACUCUGGCACUUUUGUUGUGAAUUCAUGGCAGCUAGUAUCAACAGAAGUUUUGUGUUUUAAAAUUGUGCUAUUUUGAUAAUAUGCUUUAUUUGUGAUCGUGGUGAUACUGUUUAUUUAUGAUACUGUUUUUUUUAAACUCAUGUAUAUUUUAAUGUUAUAUGUUGUGCCCUGGAGUGCCUUUGUAGGCUGCCCUGAGUCCCUAUGGGGAGAUGGUGGCAGGAUAGAAAUAAAGUUUUAUUUAUUAUAAAGGCUAAAAACCUAUUACAUUUUAACAGUGUGAAGGGGAAAAAUAAAAUCCAAGUGGAGUAAAAGAAA